GGUAGAGCACAGUGAUAGAGCACUUGCCUAGCAUGCAAGGGCCCUGGGUUCAAUUCCCAGUACUG
RNAcentral lists this transfer RNA (65 nucleotides) under Marmota monax (woodchuck). RNAcentral's name for it is "tRNA.Ala". It matches the Rfam family "tRNA", at positions 5 to 66 of the family's 71-position model. Rfam says of the family: Transfer RNA (tRNA) molecules are approximately 80 nucleotides in length. Lineage: Eukaryota; Metazoa; Chordata; Mammalia; Rodentia; Sciuridae. The record is from RNAcentral.